CAGCAGCCGCGGUAAUACCGGCGGCCCGAGUGGCGGCCACUAUUAUUGGGCUUAAAGCGUCCGCAGCCGGGUUGGGAAGUCCUCCGGGAAAUCUGGCCGCUUAACGGUCAGAAUUCCGGGAGAUACUGCCAGCCUAGGGACCGGGAGAGGCCGAGGGUAUUCCCGGAGUAGGGGUGAAAUCCUAUAAUCCCGGGAGGACCACCUGUGGCGAAGGCGCUCGGCUGGAACGGGUCCGACGGUGAGGGACGAAGGCCAGGGGAGCAAACCGGAUUAGAUACCCGGGUAGUCCUGGCUGUAAACGAUGCGGACUUUGUGUCGGACAAGCUAUGAGCUUGUCCGGUGCCGGAGGGAAACCGUUAAGUCCGCCGCCUGGGGAGUACGGCCGCAAGGCUGAAACUUAAAGGAAUUGGCGGG
Molecule: ribosomal RNA, 414 nt
Filed under: uncultured microorganism
Description: bacterial SSU rRNA
Rfam family: Archaeal small subunit ribosomal RNA
Source: RNAcentral